GUGAACUUGUGAGAGCAUUUCUGCCCAGGAAAAACAAAGCCUUCUACACAACACACAGAGCAUACUGUGCCUCUCAGGCCUUGUGGCCUGCUCUGUGGUCCUUCUCAGCUGCUACUGGCUUCCUGACCACCACCAAGUAAGCAGCUUUGCUCUUCCACCAAGAUGUUCUGUCUUACUUCAGACCCCCAGAAAUAGAACUAGCCAGCCAUGGACUGAAACCUCUGAAACCAUGAGCCAAAUAAACUAUAUCCUUCUUUGAGCUGUGUAUGUCAGACAAUUUGUCCCAGCAAUGGGAAAGCUGGCCAUUCACCGGGGAAGACUCUUAACUUUUCUGAUUCUCUGUCUCAUCCAUUUAUAAAAUGAUAUGUGAAGAAGGAGGAGUGGCCACAUGAAAGAGAUGUGAAGAUGGUAUCUCUUAUCAAAAUGAAAACAUUAAAUGGUCUGAAAUGAAAUUCUUGUGAGCCCAAGAAAAUCUACAGAAAGUUCAUCUGUAAUCCAGAAAAUUAAAAUUCUCUGAAGUAGUCUAAGUGAGAAUGGCUCUUUUUGGACAUGGCAAAUCAUCCUUCAAGUCUACCUUUUCCAGAGACUUAAGUCUUUCCUGUAACAGUGUCCUCCACUUUGAGACUCUGAUAAGGAGAGGUGAAGGUUGGUCAGUUACACUAGUCAGAGUUUAGCAUUGCCUGAUCAUUUUGUAUUCAAUGAAGGCCUUGAUAUGAAAGACAACAGCAUGGUACUUCUCCAGGAGACCUUGGCCUAGUUCAAGGCAAAAGGGAAGAAGCUGAUAACAGAUCUGGCAAGCGAACUACUGGGAUCUGUCAGAAUAUGACCAAUUCAGACAAGCCUAUCAGCAGGCCAGCAAGGUCUCGGUAGCUGAAGCUUGAUCCAGACCUCACAGGCUAGUAUGCUUUUUGGGUAACCUUGUUUAUCCAUAAUGCUCAGCAAAGAGAGGAUCACUGUUUGUCUUUUUCAUAGAUAGAAAACCCACUGCUGCUUUAAAGCAGCCUGCUCUUCAAAACAGAAUAAUUGAUCUCAGAAUGGAUAUACGUUUUAUCUUUGUUACAUAAAUUGAAUCAUAGCAUGCAUACCAUAAGUGUAUGCCACCUAAUAAAUAUAUCAUAGGUAUGUUUCAGUGUUAAUACAUCUUCAUUCAUUUUAAUGACAACAUGAAAUUCAAUUGCAUAGUUGUAAGAACUGAGUUCUUUUUAGAUUUAGAAUAUAAGAUACUGCAGUAUACAUGACAGCAUAUCACAAAAUGUGUCACAAAAUGUGAUCUUGGGGUCUUGGGUUGUAGACAUGUAUGAGAGACAAUACAAAAGAAUCAGCGUUUGCGGAGAGAGGAGCAAAGGUUAUGGAUAGAUAACAACUGGCUACAGAGGCUCCCUGAGAUAGUCAACUUAGAAUUCAACAUAAUACAGAGUGGGGAGCCCCAAACAGAGGGAAAUGAAUUCUCUUGUCCCAAGAAGAAAAUAAAUUGAGAAGAGCCAACCAAACACACAGUCCCAUGCUAUUAUUGGAACAACUAAAGGUUCAGUGUUCCCGCUACAGCAGGUGACUUGCUGACCAUCCGAGGUCUGGCUGAAACUUGCUGAGGUCCUGCCAUGACUUGCCGAGGUCCCACAGUGACUUGCCAACUUGUCCGAGGUCCUGCCACUUGGACUCACUGGAGGCACAGUUACAUUGAGUUUGGAGAUUGGUGAGCCAAAUGGAAAGCUGAGUUGGCAGGGUGCCUACAUCGACAGACAGCCAUGAAUUUGUGGUAACCUGGUCAAAAGGGGUGAUCCAGAAGAUUCAAAGGGAUUACCAGGAAAUUAAAAACUCUAUGGAAAGACAGCAAAUCAGCUUGAAAGGAACUAAGGAUAGAUUAUACAAACUGGAGGACAAUUUUGCAAUGUGGGAGUAUGAAAGGGAAAACUUUUUAAAAAUAACAAGGAAACAAGCAGUAACAAUACAAAGGCUAGAAGAUGACAAGAGGAUCUAUAACUUGAGAAUAAAGAAUGUGAAUGAAGAAGCUGGGGUACAAACAAAGGAACUACAAAGGUUAUUCACAGAAAUAAUUAAGGAAAACUUCCCAAACAUAGGAAAAGGAAAUGAUAUUCUGAUAUAUGAGGCAUACAGAACUCCAGCACCUACAACCAAAACAGAACUAAACCCAGGCAUAUAAUAAUCAAUAUCCCAGAAAUUCAGUAUAAGAACAGAAUAUUAAAAGCUAUUAGAGACAAGAAACAGAUCACCUAUAGAGGAAGGCCCAUCAGAAUAAUGACAGACUUCUCAACACAAACCAUCAAGAAGAGCCUGGAGCGAAAUAUUCCAAGCCCUGAAAGAAAAUAACCUCCAGCCCAGAUUGAUAUACCCUGCUAAACUGUCUCUAGAAAUUAAUGGAGAAACGAGAUGCUUCCAAGACAAAGAGGAACUUGGGAAAUUCGCAACCACCAAUCCAACUCUACAGAGAAUAGUGCAGGGCAUUCUAGAGAGAGAGAAAAGUACUAGGAUUCCAGGAAUAGUGGCAGAGAAUGGAGCAGAAAACAGAAUGAAGAAGAUAAGCAGACAACUGAUGGCAAAAAAAGAGCAUAACAGAAAUGAGGUAGAGAAGAUUUUAUUCAAAACUGAUAUGAUUGAUAGUAUCAAGUCUGAGAGUAUAGGCAACUACACUGAAGAUGACAGUAUUCUACGAUACACAUUCUGGUUUGAUAACUGCCAGUUUUUGAAGUGCUAUACUAUAUACAAAGUUUUGUUUUUAUUAAUACUGUUAUAUACCGAUAUAUUCAAUUAUACUAUGUCCAAUGAUAUAGCCAAUUCUAUUGGAGAUAACAAGAGACAACACAGGAACCAUGGUAGCUCUUUGUACAAUGGUCUUACAUGUUUUUCUUGAUUUCCUGUGUUUAUAGGAAUAUGUUUUUUUGUCUUGUUUUGUUUUGUUUCUCCCUCUAAUAUAGAAAGGAUAGAAAUACAUGUUAAGACUCAUGCAUGUGUAGAAUCUAUAAACAGUUUGUGAGAACUGAUCUUACGACACAUGAUGAAAUGAACAGAUACUUUGAAGAAAAAGAGACACUAAAGUACCCAGUGCUGAUCCUGGAGGGUCAUAAUGUGAAACCCAGCAAUAGUACUAUUCUUUGUUCAGAGUGAUAUUAGACUCCUUGGGUUUGUUCACUCUCAAUAUAAUUGAAGAUAUGGAUAACUGCAUGUAUGUUUAAGUGUAUAGGAUUGAUAAUCAUAUUUCUAGUUUUUGUUGGACAGUUGAACAGAACUGGUUGAAAUCUCACUGUUUGAAUCCCCACUUUACAUGUUCCAUUUUUGUAUCUUGAACAACUAUUUGUAAAACGACAAUAUGUAAACAUCAACUAGUGAUUUAAAAAAAAAGAAUCAGCAUUUGCUUUUAUCAAUACUGAA
Molecule: long non-coding RNA, 3387 nt
Organism: Cavia porcellus (domestic guinea pig)
Lineage: Eukaryota; Metazoa; Chordata; Mammalia; Rodentia; Caviidae
Exons: 2
Source: RefSeq, a predicted model, not a curated record